GAUGAACGCUGGCGGCGUGCCUAAUACAUGCAAGUCGAACGCACAGCGAAAGGUGCUUGCACCUUUCAAGUGAGUGGCGAACGGGUGAGUAACACGUGGAUAACCUACCUCAAGGUUGGGGAUAACAUUUGGAAACAGAUGCUAAUACCGAAUAAAACUUAGUAUCGCAUGAUACCAGGUUAAAAAGGCGCUACGGCGUCACCUAGAGAUGGAUCCGCGGUGCAUAGUUAGUUGGUGGGUAAAGGCGUUACCAAGACAAUGAUGCAUAGCCGAGUUGAGAGACUGAUCGGCCACAUUGGGACUGAGACACGGCCCAAAC
This 319-nucleotide ribosomal RNA is filed under the name uncultured bacterium. Its description in RNAcentral is "bacterial SSU rRNA". It matches the Rfam family "Bacterial small subunit ribosomal RNA", at positions 28 to 336 of the family's 1533-position model. The record is from RNAcentral.